GCAAAAUGAAGCCAUAAAAAUAUCUACCAACCCUGGGAAGCUCUUGCAUAAAUGACUGGUGUUUAUUGCUAAGAAUCCCUUUAAAUAGAGCUUCAGAAGGCCACAAUCAAUUGCUUCAAAAGACUUUAGCAGAAUAACUAUCAUCAUCAAGAUGCAUGAGGUCAGCAGUUUACAACAACAUUUGACAUGAAGCCUAUUGACUGAAGAGGAGGCUGAUCCCCUUGAAGAAGGGCUAUACAAUACUACAACAUGCAUUUCCAGAAGGCGUUUACCAUUUCAUCACUCAGGGGCUCUAUAGCCAUUUACCAAUACUCUGUACCCUGGGGCUGGGUAUGCUCAGAUCUUGUGAGGAUUACUUUAUAAGAGGGUAAGCCAAUAGUGAUACUAGAGGCUGUAAAAUUCUCUCAUGGCAUCCUUGUUAGAAUUGCUAAAUAUAAAGGCCAUGAAACACAUGGAGUCCUGGUCCAAGUUCAACUCAUAGCAGGUCUAGAGUAGAUCCAACCCACAACCCAUUCUUGGUCAUGUUUUCAGUUCCUGAGUACAGAAUCAUGGCAGCAACAUCAGCAACUAGCAGAAUCAUCAUUUUGGUUCCACAUUUGUGGAGUAAGAGCCACCUUGUUAGAAAAAGCCAAAUGGAAACCUCUGAAAUUGCCUUCCCCUACCUCUCCCUUAUAUUUUGGUUAAUAUGGUAAAUAAGAAGUAGUAAUAGAGUACUCUAUCCCAGGAGGAAUUGCAGGAACUGUAUCAAAGACUAAAAAGAUGCAGGGGUAGUAGUCUUCAUGAUAUCAAAGUUGAAUUGAACUAUAUAGCCUUUAUGAAAAACCUGGUUGAUGAAUCAUGGUAGAUGCAGGUGAACUUCAAAAUGAAACUGUACUAGUUUGUAUUGGUCAUUAUUAUUUUUAUUAUUACAAUUAUCCUGGAAGUCAAUGGAAGAAACUGUUUCCAUGAAGAGGAAGUGAUCAUCUAUGUAACUUGCUGUUGAGAUAUCAACUAAAAUCAGGACUAAGACUUGACUGUUGGAUUUAGCAGCAUUGUUGACCUUGACAAGAGCUAUUUAGGUAAAAUAGUGGUGGCAAAAGCUUGAUUGGGUAGAGUUAAAGACAAAAUGGAAGAGAAUAAUUGUAUAUAGAAUAUAUAAGCAACUCUUUUAAAAAAUGUUUCUGUUAAGUAAAAGAGAAGCAGUAGCUAAAGGGGAUUAGAGUUCAAGAGGAAUUUAUUUAUUUUUCCAUGGGAGAAACUAGAGCAUUUUAAAAAUGUAGAUGGGACAUAUUCAAACAAGAGGAAGUAUUUAUGUGGACUAGGGAAGAAUUGCUAUAGCAAUUUCCUUGAGUAGGUAAAAAGGGUUGGAAACCAGUGUACAAUUUUAAAAAAUUGCUUUUAAAUAGAUGAGGCAGUAUAUACAUAAAUGAAAUCAGUAGUGAGUGUUCCCUUCAGAUAACUGUAGUUGGAUUAGUAGCAGGCAAAUAUGGCUUCAGAGAAUACUAUGCUCAGGGGAUGAAAAGUAUUUAGGAUAUCUCAAAUAUCUUAUCAUUUAUUAUGUUCAUUUUUUGAAAGUUGAAGGUGUAGUGCUGUAAUUUUGUCUACUAUCAGCCCUGAUGAUUGGCUUAGC
This 1609-nucleotide long non-coding RNA is filed under the name Homo sapiens (human). RNAcentral describes it as "HSALNT0320202". Lineage: Eukaryota; Metazoa; Chordata; Mammalia; Primates; Hominidae. The record is from RNAcentral.